Molecule: ribosomal RNA, 301 nt
Filed under: uncultured bacterium
Lineage: Bacteria
Description: partial 16S ribosomal RNA
Rfam family: Bacterial small subunit ribosomal RNA
Source: RNAcentral
CAGUAGCCACGGUAAUACAGAGGGUGCGAGCGUUAAUCGGAUUUACUGGGCGUAAAGCGUGUGUAGGUUGUUGUUCAAGUCAGUUGUGAAAUCCCUGGGCUCAACCUGGGAACUGCUUCUGAGACUGAACGACUAGAGUACGGUAGAGGGUGGUGGAAUUUCCGGUGUAGCGGUGAAAUGCGUAGAUAUCGGAAGGAACAUCAAUGGCGAAGGCAGCCACCUGGGCCUGUACUGACACUGAGACACGAAAGCGUGGGGAUCAAACAGGAUUAGAUACCCGCGUAGUCCCUGUCUCUUAUAC